GAUCCAUACUUCCCCUACCCCGCAUCUCUAACCACACAGUGCUCGCCGCCAGCACCAUCGGUUGCGCAGAGCUGGCGAACCCACGUCUUGCCUUCUCGGUGGCUCCGUGCGUAGCUCCUCGCGUCCUCGCUCUCCAUCUCUCUCCAUGUGAUCGCGACUCCUCGGAUUCCCAAUCCUAUUCUUGUGCGAGACCUCUCCUCACCCACGGCUCCAGCAUGCCCGCCGUUGCACGCCACGGAUGCUGUGCCGGUUGUUGCCGACUUGGGGCAGGCGACGCCUACCAAGGCUGUGUUCAUUGAGGUGCGAAGGCCGCUGUGGUGAUCACCCAGAACGUACCACUAGCUUACUUCAAUCCCUUUCAAAGAUGUUGCACGCCCACCACAACACCUGAUCUGCGGCACCAAUCAACGAAGGGGACCUGCUUGUGUUGCCAAACGUCCACGACCCUCACCAGAGGCCAGAGUUGUAGGUCUGUAGUUUGCAGAGUCAGACAAUGAGUUGCCAUUUGCCAAUUGAGAUUUGGUCCGUAGUCUGCAGAGUCAUGCAAUGAGUUGCCAAUUGCAAUUUGCUAUAGAAGAGUACUAGCGACUUGCUGUGCUGUGUGAGGCUCGGUAAUUUUCAAACCCUACAGUACACCCAUGUUUUUGCAAUACGCUGCAUAUGCCUAGCCUCUUCUGAACGGAGAAUAAUUUUAGUGCUAUCUGUGCAUGUAAAAGUUUAGCUCUCUUGUCUUUGCUGGUCAUCUUCACCAUUUUGGUGUUGUGUUGUCUAUUUAAAUUCUUCUAUGUAGCUUGUUGGAACAAUGUUAUUCUUCUCCGAUCUGUAGUUCAAGAUCACGAGCGCUCGCA
Sorghum bicolor (sorghum) is the source of this 848-nucleotide long non-coding RNA. RefSeq lists it as uncharacterized. Lineage: Eukaryota; Viridiplantae; Streptophyta; Magnoliopsida; Poales; Poaceae. The transcript has 2 exons. The record is from RefSeq and is a predicted model, not a curated record.